CUACGGGCUGCUGCAGUGAGGAAUAUUGCACAAUGGGGGGAACCCUGAUGCGGCAACGCCGCGUGGAGGAUGACGCAUUUCGGUGUGUAAACUCCUUUUAUAUGUCAAGAAAAUGACGGUAGCAUAUGAAUAAGCACCGGCUAACUCCGUGCCAGCAGCCGCGGUAAUACGGAGGGUGCAAGCGUUACUCGGAAUCACUGGGCGUAAAGGACGCGUAGGCGGGUUGGAAAGUCAGGUGUGAAAUCCUACAGCUUAACUGUAGAACUGCACUUGAAACUUCUAAUCUAGAGUAUAGGAGGGGGAGAUGGAAUUAGUGGUGUAGGGGUAAAAUCCGUAGAUAUCACUAGGAAUACCUAAAGCGAAGGCGAUCUCCUGGAACAUUACUGACGCUAAGGCGUGAAAGCGUGGGGAGCAAACAGGAUUAGAUACCCCGGUAGUC
Molecule: ribosomal RNA, 439 nt
Filed under: uncultured bacterium
Lineage: Bacteria
Description: partial 16S ribosomal RNA
Rfam family: Bacterial small subunit ribosomal RNA
Source: RNAcentral